RNAcentral lists this ribosomal RNA (253 nucleotides) under uncultured bacterium. RNAcentral describes it as "partial 16S ribosomal RNA". It matches the Rfam family "Bacterial small subunit ribosomal RNA", at positions 524 to 776 of the family's 1533-position model. The record is from RNAcentral.
UACGUAGGCAGCGAGCGUUGUUCGGAGUUACUGGGCGUAAAGGGUGUGUAGGCGGUUCUUUAAGUUUGGGGUGAAAUCUCCCGGCUCAACCGGGAGGGUGCGCCGAAUACUGAGGGACUAGAGUGCGGGAGAGGAAAGUGGAAUUCCUGGUGUAGCGGUGAAAUGCGUAGAUAUCAGGAGGAACACCGGUGGUGUAGACGGCUUUCUGGACCGUAACUGACGCUGAGACACGAAAGCGUGGGUAGCAAACAGG